Long non-coding RNA from Telopea speciosissima, 153 nucleotides. RefSeq lists it as uncharacterized. The transcript is spliced from 3 exons. The record is from RefSeq and is a predicted model, not a curated record. NCBI's taxonomy places the organism in Eukaryota, Viridiplantae, Streptophyta, Magnoliopsida, Proteales, Proteaceae.
AUUCCAGGAACAGAUUAAAUAUAAGAAAGUUAAAAGUUUAAAACUAAAAACCACUUUUAACCAAAACAUCCUUUUUAAGUCCACCUGAAAUAGUUUUCAUCCCUACAACAAUGAUUAGGCGAGGAUCCAAUCCAGUUAAAUUCCACUGACCAU